GAGUUGCGAACGGGUGAGUAACGCGUAGGUAACCUGCCUCUUAGCGGGGGAUAACUAUUGGAAACGAUAGCUAAUACCGCAUAACAGUAGAUGUUGCAUGACAUUUACUUAAAAGGUGCAAUUGCAUCACUACCAGAUGGACCUGCGUUGUAUUAGCUAGUUGGUGGGGUAAAGGCCUACCAAGGCGACGAUGCAUAGCCGACCUGAGAGGGUGAUCGGCCACACUGGGACUGAGACACGGCCCAGACUCC
Molecule: ribosomal RNA, 251 nt
Filed under: uncultured Streptococcus sp.
Lineage: Bacteria; Bacillati; Bacillota; Bacilli; Lactobacillales; Streptococcaceae
Description: partial 16S ribosomal RNA
Rfam family: Bacterial small subunit ribosomal RNA
Source: RNAcentral